GGGUUGUGAGGUUAAGCGACUAAGCGUACACGGUGGAUGCCCUGGCAGUCAGAGGCGAUGAAGGGCGUGCUAAUCUGCGAUAAGCGCCGGUAAGGUGAUAUGAACCGUUAUAACCGGCGAUACCCGAAUGGGGAAACCCAGUGUGACUCGUCACACUAUCAUUAACUGAAUCCAUAGGUUAAUGAGGCGAACCGGGGGAACUGAAACAUCUAAGUACCCCGAGGAAAAGAAAUCAACCGAGAUUCCCCCAGUAGCGGCGAGCGAACGGGGAGGAGCCCAGAGCCUGAAUCAGCAUGUGUGUUAGUGGAAGCGUCUGGAAAGGCGCGCGAUACAGGGUGACAGCCCCGUACACAAAAGCGCAUGUGCUGUGAGCUCGAUGAGUAGGGCGGGACACGUGGUAUCCUGUCUGAAUAUGGGGGGACCAUCCUCCAAGGCUAAAUACUCCUGACUGACCGAUAGUGAACCAGUACCGUGAGGGAAAGGCGAAAAGAACCCCGGCGAGGGGAGUGAAAAAGAACCUGAAACCGUGUACGUACAAGCAGUGGGAGCACCCUUUGGGUGUGACUGCGUACCUUUUGUAUAAUGGGUCAGCGACUUAUAUUCUGUAGCAAGGUUAACCGAAUAGGGGAGCCGGAGGGAAACCGAGU
This 647-nucleotide ribosomal RNA is filed under the name Salmonella enterica subsp. enterica serovar Enteritidis. Its description in RNAcentral is "partial 23S ribosomal RNA". It matches the Rfam family "Bacterial large subunit ribosomal RNA", at positions 1 to 682 of the family's 2925-position model. The record is from RNAcentral. Lineage: Bacteria; Pseudomonadati; Pseudomonadota; Gammaproteobacteria; Enterobacterales; Enterobacteriaceae.